GAUGAACGCUGGCGGCGUGCCUAAUACAUGCAAGUCGAGCGAACGGACGAGAAGCUUGCUUUUCUGAUGUUAGCGGCGGACGGGUGAGUAACACGUGGAUAACCUACCUAUAAGACUGGGAUAACUUCGGGAAACCGGAGCUAAUACCGGAUAAUAUUUUGAACCGCAUGGUUCAAAAGUGAAAGACGGUCUUGCUGUCACUUAUAGAUGGAUCCGCGCUGCAUUAGCUAGUUGGUAAGGUAACGGCUUACCAAGGCAACGAUGCAUAGCCGACCUGAGAGGGUGGUCGGCCCCCCUGGAACUGAGACACGGUCCAGACUCCUACGGGAGGCAGCAGUAGGGAAUCUUCCGCAAUAGGCGAAAGCCUGACGGAGCAACGCCGCGUGAGUGAUGAAGGUCUUCGGAUCGUAAAACUCUGUUAUUAGGGAAGAACAUAUGUGUAAGUAACUGUGCACAUCUUGACGGUACCUAAUCAGAAAGCCACGGCUAACUACGUG
RNAcentral lists this ribosomal RNA (497 nucleotides) under uncultured bacterium. Its description in RNAcentral is "partial 16S ribosomal RNA". It matches the Rfam family "Bacterial small subunit ribosomal RNA", at positions 28 to 507 of the family's 1533-position model. The record is from RNAcentral.